This is a non-coding RNA of Rattus norvegicus (Norway rat), 4154 nucleotides long. Lineage: Eukaryota; Metazoa; Chordata; Mammalia; Rodentia; Muridae. The record is from RefSeq and is a predicted model, not a curated record.
UUUAGACAAUCUACAAAGUUAAGCAGUGGAGCCUGAGCCACGAGCUGUUGUGAGCAGAACAAAAGGCCUUCAGCUUGUACCCACAAUUGACUUUGAGUCAAGUUUUUGCCACUCCUAAACAUCUUUCCUCAGAAUCCCUCUCCAAGCCAAGGUGGUUCUUAGCACAACAGGGUCUCCUACAUCUUAUUCUGGCCUCUAUGCAGUAACCCAACAGAACAUAUUGUGUGAAAACACUUUCCCUUCUCUCAGAUCCCCAAGCCAUCUGGAGUCCCUGUCAAAAAGAUUUUGAAUCCUCCUCUCAGGCUCUUCAUGCAAGCAACUUGAUCCAGAAUUUGUAAAGUGCCGUCCAGAGGCAAUAUCUCCGAAGUCUUAGGUCAAAUCUCAUCCUCACUUUUUUCCAGCAAUUGUUCCUGAGUUCUUCAUUUGGUUUCCCUGCUAGAAUGUUACUCUAAACUUACACAAAGUUGAGAAAGAUCCUUAGGAAAAGGGUGAGCAAUGAAUUUGGUGGCAUUAUUUACCAUGCAAACAAUGUAUUUGUGUUCAGUAUAAAGAACUAUAUAAAAUUAAAAACAUAUGGACAAAAUGGAGGAGAUGGUCUUGAGAUUCACAGAAGAGGAAAUUAUAAUGGUCAAUACAUACCUAAAGUAGGAAACCAUGACAUGUUGAACCAUUCCAUAACAAAAUGAAAACAUCUAAUAAUAUUAGUGCUGGAAAAAAUGUGAAGCAAUACAAAUACACAUACUCCAUGACAGAGAUUUCCUUAGUUUCCCCAGCCAUAAUUUUAGACAUAAAUUAUUCAAUAUCAUGCAUGAUUAAGGAUAUUCAUAUAUUAUAAUUGAUUAAUUAUAGUUCUAAGAAUAUUUCACCCAUACUUGUUGCCCAUGUUCCAAAAUCUGUCACAUUUAUAUACAGAACAAGAACCAAAAUAAACUAACAAAACUUGAAAACAAUUAUACCAUUCAUUGCCAGGAAAAUGAAUGAAAUAAGGGUAGUGUGUCUGUGGACUGAAUAUUAGAAAGCUCAAAAAUUAUAUGAAUUAGCAUGAUAUAGAUCAAUAUGGGAAAUUUGUAAGCAUAAUAAAGAACAGAGGGACAUAAUCAGUGAUCCCAUUCCUUUGUUCAGUUCAGAGUAUCCCUAUGCAUUUUUAAAAUGAUGCUUACAAACAUCAUAAAUGAAUACAUCUAGACGUCAGUCCUGGCCUUAUAAGACAUUGGGUUGGAAUUUAGGAAGUCUUAUCAUGUCAGAGUUAGAAGAGAUGUAGGUUUCAAAUGUAUGAGGGUUGUUUUCAUCAUUUAAAGCACUACAAUUCUGAUACAGAUGUAAGAAAAUAUGCUUUAUCUGGUGUGCAAGAUUUAAAGAUUCGAUGGUUUUCUUUCAGCCUUGUGCAAGUUACCUUUCUUGUUGUUAUAACAAAAUAAUUGAAUAAAUUUAAGAUAGGACAGACUUAGUUCAUGCUUUGAGGGUACAGUCCAUCAUUACAGGGAAAUCAUGCAGUCCAAGAAUGAGGAAGCUGGUCACAUAACAUGUAUAGUCAGGAAGGAGCAGGGAAGGAGAAGGAUAGACAGGGGAACAUAGGAAGGUCGGGGGGGGGGGAGGAGAGGAGGAGGGAAGGGGAGGAGAGAGAGAGAGAUACACAUAAAUAGUGAGAAAGAGAGACAGAGACAGGAAGAGAUGAGAGAGAGAGAGGAGAAGAAGAAGAAGAAGAAGAAGAAGAAGAAGAAGAAGAAGAAGAAGAAGAAGAAGAAGAAGAAGAAGAAGAAGAAGAAGAAAGAGGAGGAGGAGGAGGAGGAGGAGGAGGAGGAGGAGGGAUUAGUUUUGCUUACUUUCUCAUUUUCAUUUCUUACCAAUCAUACCAGGACCUUGUCUCCUAGGUGAUUUAAGAUGCUUUUCAAGCCAAGAAUACUAACCAUCACUUGCCUUUUCUCAUUUGGAAUAUUUUAUUGAAAUAAAGUAAAACAAAAAUGUAGUUUCUGAGAUUUGUUUGUGAGUGACAGAUGUAUAACCAUGCAGAAAUAUUUAGUGUCCCUGCUAAUGACACACAGCAGAUUUUAGGUACUGUUCAGCCCUGUCCUCUUAUGUAGGCAGGACAUUAAAAUCAUAGAAAUCUCACAGGUACUACUUGUUUCAUAGAACCUUAUAGAUGAUCACAGACAAUACUUAUCUUUUGAUGAGCUGGAGUAAUUUUUGCCAUAUGUGAACAAUUAUAUAUAUGAUUAUUAUAAACUUUGUAUUAUUUUUAUAUUGUUAAUUUAAUGUGUUAAGUAUUAAAUAUUAUCUAUUUUUAGUUCAGGGAAGUUGGUAAUUUUGUGAUUUUCAUAAAUCUAUCUCCUAUAUGAACUUCUAAACUUAGAAGUGAUGAUUGACCCAAUUUAUUUAAGGCCUGAUUUCAGUAAUUAUAAUUAGUUAAUUCAGCAUAUUUUGCAUUUAACUUAUAAGCCAGUUAUCAUGAAUGCACAAAUGCAAUAUAAAGACUUGAAUUCCUAUCUGAAGUUUUAUAUCUUGGUUCAAUUCUUGGUUGUGUAUAUGUGUUUUCUCUUUACAUUAAUCUAGUUAUUUAACCAACAAUUAUUACAUACCAAGCAAAAUAGUUACCUAAUUUGAAAGAAUAGACAUAUUUCUUUUGAAUACCUGAUUGAACCUGAUUUGAACUAAAAAUACUAUCAGAUUCCAACAAAAGACAUCUAGGCAGCAUCUGUCAUGAAAGUCCAUUUGGAUUGUAUCUUCUGAAUCAAAAUUAAUAUAGUUUCCAGACUGUACAAUGACACAGAGGCUUAUUAUGUAUCAUGAUCUUGCUCUGGACAAUAGGAAACAUGGUGUACUAAUCACACAUGUAGCUAUGACUGAUUUCCUUUCAUAUCAUUUUUCCUUGCCAGUGAACCCAGCAAACUCUGGAAUUACAUUAAUGGCUUCUUGACUUUUCAAAUAGACUUCAGUUAUCUAUACCCAAUCUUAUUAGAAUUAUGGGGACAAUGGAACAAACCAUGCUAUUUCUCUAAAAUUAAGGAAGAUCCUGAGUAUUAGAAAGUGAAUUAGUCAGAGCCGUGAUAACUGGCUCUUUGGUAGAACUCCUUGAUUAAGAAGGGGCUACUUACUUUCUGUGUUUCAGAAGCUCAUGAAAUGGGAAAGGACACAAGGUAUCUCAGCCUCAGAAGCUUUGACAGUUUUGGCUAAGUGCUUCUAUUUUGCAAGGGAGAAUAGAUAUCUCAAAUUUAGUGGAUAAAACGCCAUCAUCUUUAUCUAUUAGAUGCCAGAGUACCUUCCAAUGGUGAUAACCAGGAAUGUCUUCAGAUAUGGUGAGGUGUCUACCUGGAGGAAAUUUGCUUCUGGUUGGGCACUCCUUCCUUAAAGUCCUAGUUAACAGACUUUUGUGUUUUAAUGACCAUGAAAAGACAAGGCAAAUACUCACCAACCCUGGGUAGAGAGGAUUGCAGACCUUGGUCUACAGAUAAGGAUGAUAUAAUCAGUUCUAAUCAAUGAAAUUUGAACAUUACUAUCUGUCAACAACCAGGAAAUACCUUUCCAUAUGUAAUAAACUUGGGAAGCAUAUUUUAAUGAUCAAUGAGGCAAGAGAUGGGAUAAGCUGGAGUUCUGAGUGACAAGGGACUCUGGCAUGAUGGAUAAAAUGUGAAAUGAAUAUGAAAGAGAGAGCUUCAAUAGACAAAGUGACUGAAAUUUAGGAAAUUUACAGAAGCCAGCAUACCUCAAGAAUUAAAACCAUGUUUUUAUUUUUUAAAUACUUACAUAAUUUAAACUAUCUUCUUAAAUUUUCAAUGAAGUAAUAUCAGAAAUAGUGUUCAUAAAUCAUACUAAUUUUGAGUUCUUUUCAUUCUGCUGUGAUUGAUUACUCUGACAAAUGCAGCUUAAGGGGUAAAGAAGUUAUUUGGACUCACAGUUAAAAUGCAUGUGAUAUUGUUAUGUCUUUCCUUUUUAUUUUUCCCUCCUAUUUUGAGUCACUAGGUACUGAACCCAUGGGGCCUUGUGUGUGCUUGAUAAAAGUUCCGUCACUGUGUUAUGUCUCCUGCCCUUUGUAUCCUCUUUCUUAUCCCUGCUCAUUACAUAAACAAAUUCAUAUAUAUCUUUAUUAUAAAAUACAUGUGUAUUAUGAAAACUUUAAAAAUGCAGAAAAGAAUGAAAGUGUUGCUGUUUGCCUAAUA